This 73-nucleotide transfer RNA is filed under the name Petromyzon marinus (sea lamprey). RNAcentral's name for it is "tRNA-Tyr (GTA) (tRNA-Tyr-GTA-19-1)". It matches the Rfam family "tRNA". From Rfam's summary of the family: Transfer RNA (tRNA) molecules are approximately 80 nucleotides in length. Their secondary structure includes four short double-helical elements and three loops (D, anti-codon, and T loops). Further hydrogen bonds mediate the characteristic L-shaped molecular structure. tRNAs have two regions of fundamental functional importance: the anti-codon, which is responsible for specific mRNA codon recognition, and the 3' end, to which the tRNAs corresponding amino acid is attached (by aminoacyl-tRNA synthetases). tRNAs cope with the degeneracy of the genetic code in two manners: having more than one tRNA (with a specific anti-codon) for a particular amino acid; and 'wobble' base-pairing, i.e. permitting non-standard base-pairing at the 3rd anti-codon position. Lineage: Eukaryota; Metazoa; Chordata; Hyperoartia; Petromyzontiformes; Petromyzontidae. The record is from RNAcentral.
CCUUCGAUAGCUCAGUUGGUAGAGCGGAGGACUGUAGACCCUUGGGUCGCUGGUUUGACUCCGGCUCGAAGGA